This 463-nucleotide ribosomal RNA is filed under the name uncultured soil bacterium. RNAcentral describes it as "bacterial SSU rRNA". It matches the Rfam family "Bacterial small subunit ribosomal RNA", at positions 26 to 505 of the family's 1533-position model. The record is from RNAcentral.
AGGAUGAACGCUGGCGGCGUGCUUAACACAUGCAAGUCGAACGAUGAAGCCGGAGCUUGCUCUGGUGGAUUAGUGGCGAACGGGUGAGUAACACGUGAGUAACCUGCCCUUGACUCUGGGAUAAGCGUUGGAAACGACGUCUAAUACCGGAUACGACGCGCGAAGGCAUCUUCUGCGCGUGGAAACGAAUUUCGGUCAAGGAUGGACUCGCGGCCUAUCAGCUAGUUGGUGAGGUAACGGCCCACCAAGGCGACGACGGGUAGCCGGCCUGAGAGGGUGACCGGCCACACUGGGACUGAGACACGGCCCAGACUCCUACGGGAGGCAGCAGUGGGAAUAUUGCACAAUGGGCGCAAGCCUGAUGCAGCAACGCCGCGUGAGGGACGACGCCUUCGGUGUAACUCUUUAGUAGGAGAAGACGAAGUGACGGUACGUGACGAGAAAAGCGACCGGACUAACUACG